RNAcentral lists this transfer RNA (71 nucleotides) under Loxodonta africana (African savanna elephant). It matches the Rfam family "tRNA". Rfam says of the family: Transfer RNA (tRNA) molecules are approximately 80 nucleotides in length. Their secondary structure includes four short double-helical elements and three loops (D, anti-codon, and T loops). Further hydrogen bonds mediate the characteristic L-shaped molecular structure. tRNAs have two regions of fundamental functional importance: the anti-codon, which is responsible for specific mRNA codon recognition, and the 3' end, to which the tRNAs corresponding amino acid is attached (by aminoacyl-tRNA synthetases). tRNAs cope with the degeneracy of the genetic code in two manners: having more than one tRNA (with a specific anti-codon) for a particular amino acid; and 'wobble' base-pairing, i.e. permitting non-standard base-pairing at the 3rd anti-codon position. Lineage: Eukaryota; Metazoa; Chordata; Mammalia; Proboscidea; Elephantidae. The record is from Rfam by way of RNAcentral.
GCAUUGGUAGUUCAGUGGUGGAAUUCCUGCCUUCCAUGUGGGAGACCCAGCUUCGAUUCCUGGCCAGUGCC